AGUUAAUGGAACUUCCCCAAAUCCGGGAAUCUCCCACGACUGUACACUUACGACUUAGUAUAAACAACAGAUAACCUAUUCAGACUUUAAGAUGCCAUCUUGAACUAAGUCAGGAAAAUUUCCAUGACGUAUACACCCUUUAGUUAUGGCCUUGUAUGUUUGCCAAAUUAAGGGAGGUCCUAAAUUGAAUAAAGUAAAAGAAGUGUUACUUUUUCAUAUUUGAACUACAGUAACCUAAAAUGGAGACAGAGGUAUAAAUAGG
Non-coding RNA from Pelobates cultripes (western spadefoot toad), 262 nucleotides. Lineage: Eukaryota; Metazoa; Chordata; Amphibia; Anura; Pelobatidae. The record is from the annotation of a GenBank genome assembly.